RNAcentral lists this long non-coding RNA (2127 nucleotides) under Strongylocentrotus purpuratus (purple sea urchin). Its description in RNAcentral is "uncharacterized LOC115919466, transcript variant X2". The record is from RNAcentral. Lineage: Eukaryota; Metazoa; Echinodermata; Echinoidea; Camarodonta; Strongylocentrotidae.
GGGUGUUUCAUCAACUAAAAUCGAUUUCGAUUUUAAAAAUCAAUUUUAAGGCCGAAUCAGUUUUAGCUUAAAACCGAUACGUGUGAGCUGUUUCAUCAAAUCGAUUUUAAGCUAAAAUAGAUUUUUAGGUGUCUGCAAUCAAGGCUAGUCAAUUUGGGGUAAAUCGAUCACAAAAUUGCUUGCUAAACUACUGCCAGAGAGUCCUUGAAAAAGUAAGUAAAUUCCGUUUUUCUUUCAAAAUAUUAAUUCUGUUGAUAAAAAAUCUUUUAUUUUGGAAGAAGAAAAGUGUUCCUGUCAUUUUUAUAGAAUUACAUUUGUGUUUAACUGAACAAAACUUUAGAUAAUAUCAAUUGAUAUCACCCCCAACUGGGCUAAAAAGUGGACGAAUUGCACUGGUUCAAUAAUUUCAGUCCCAUUCAUAUAAAUUCAUGCAGGUUCAAUAGGAAUUUUCUACCGACGGUUAGGGCAGGUACAAACUCAUUAAUCUAGUUUAUUCUUGCAAUAGUCUUGGGGUUAUAUACAAUAUACUAGGCCUAGGGCCUCUAUUCUAGGGCCUAGAUCUAUCUAUUUAUUUAGCGGCCCUUGUCUUGUUUUUGUUGAUAAUAAAAUUAAAAAUCAACAGACAACAGGAUCAUUGUUUUGACGUUAAUAUUUUAUGAAGAAGAAGAUUAGUCUGGACUCUAGAGAGUAGAUGGUCUAGAGUGUUGCUGUUAGACCCAAGUUACAUUUAGAUCUAGUCUAGAUGUAGACCUCUAGACUCUAGAUUUAGUCUAGGUCUAGAUCUAAGUUCUCGGCCUAGAUCUAGAUCUACUUGAUAAUGAUACUUGAUACUAGAUCUAGGGAAGAUGUAGACCUAGCCUCUCCAACUAUUACUAGGUCUAGAUCUAAGGCUCUAGCAUACUGCAGUCUGCAGCUCUCUUCUGCUGGACUAGUCCUACUCCUAGAUGUGGACCUAUAAUCUAGUCUAGACUAGAGCCGAGGUCUACUGGGAGUUACUCAGUUGGGUCUAGAUCUAGUCUAUACCUACUACUAGCGCUACAGUAACAAGUUGGAUUGUAGACUAGUCUAGUAGGCCUAGGUCCAGGCAUAUUAAUAUUAAAAUUAGGUCCAGAUCUAUUACUCAGUAGACUAUUAGGGUCACUAAGCCUUAGGCUCCCUAUAUUAUUAUUUUUUUCUUAAUUUCAUUUUUCUUUUAAGAGUCAGACUCAAAGAUGGAGUGGACCUCAAGACUCAAAAGUUCUCUUCUGCCGUGUCUCUACUCUCUACAGUCUUGGACUUCUCAUUCUACUACUAAUUUCUACCUCGGCCUCUGGCUCAAUAAGGAAAGGGUUUGGAUAUGCAGAAUGUACUCAAACUCAAUGUCUAGGUGUACAGCUAUAGACUCUAGACUAGAUCCUACUGUGCUAAGUGGCCUUGUGAAGUGAUCUUUUUACUAGUAAAAAUUGCACACCAAUAUUUAAACAAGUGAAAGGUUGCAAAAUAAAGAGCUAUGGCAUCUUCAUGUACUGCUAGUUCAUGACAUAUGGACUUUUAUUGUCCAUCUCUUCAAAUUGAAAAGACUGCAGAGCCUGAAUUACCUGCAACGUUAUGCUUCCUAUGAAACAUCAGCCAGCCCACAGAUAGAAGCUCCCUUUUCCAGCUUUAAGCAAGAGAGACCACAAUGAGAUACAGAUCCAUGGUAUCAUGGACUGGUCACUUUUACAACCAACACUACUUGUAAAAUAAGAUUUACAAAUUAAUUCCUAAGCUAUUUCAAAGCUGAUAGAAAAGAAUUGAUGAUUAAUUUCAUAUAGACAAACUAUUGUAUCAAGAAAAUCACAUUCUCACCGACUGCGUGACCUAGCUAGAUGACAAUGUAUAUCAUCCAUAGAUUAACAAACAUAUGAGUAACAGAAAUAUUUGUGACAAGUAUUACUCUUUUAAUCUCCUUAAAAGUAACUCGAAUAGAGAGUGGCAGAUAUCAGCUGCAGUAGUUUUAACAACUGGCUGAUACUUUCAUAGUAGCACUUUCAUUUGUGUCUUUUAAAAUGUUCUUAUUGUAUCCCUUGAAUGUAUUUGCUAUGCUCAUCAUUUACAAAACGUAGAUUUCAUUCAUUAAAGCAUAAGCAUAUUGAUUAGACAUUAAAA